GUUUUGCAACAUGCCCAACAAUAUUGACAUGGCGCCCAACCAUUUAUAUUGACAUUCUUGAAGUAUGAUCUAAUAAUUAUGUAUGUUAAAUAAACCCAAAAUAUUUGUUUUACAUUUAUUUUAUUUUGUUUUAUAUUAUUGGAAGAAAGUAUGUCUGAGUAAAAUAUAUGGAUCUGAAGAAUCGAACCGAAGUAGAUUUGAAAGUAAUACUAAACACAAAUUAAAACUGAUUAAAUACUUAGAUUAAUCUAAAAAUUAAUAUCUAGAUAACCAGAUCUGAAUCUGACCCAAACUAAAAUAUUUUGAAUAUCAAAAUAUCUAAAUCCGAUUACAUACUUAAAUAUGUUAAUUAUUUUAUAUAUAUUAGAUAUUAAAAAUAUGAAAAUAUUUAUAAAUUAUCAACAUAAUCACAAAUAAAUAUUUAAAAGUAACCAAAAGUAUUCAAGAUACUAAAAAUAUUUAUUUGUUCUCCAUCCAAAUAUUUAAAUUGAAUUAAUUUUUAUGUAAAUUUAAAUAUUUAGUCUUACAUUAUUCAAUUUUUUUUGUUUUAUAUUAUUUUAUUUUAUUUUGAGGAUUUAAGUAUAGUUAGAUUUUUGUUAAAAAAUACAUAAUCAAAAUGGAUACCCGAACUCGAAUCUGAAUCGAUCCUACUAUCCAAAACCAAAAUUUAUAAAUAUUCGAAUACGAUUUAAAUUUCUAACUUUAAAAACUUAAAAUUCGAAUAGAUCAACAUAAUCUGAACAGAUAUAUAAAUGUCCAUCCCUAGAAAAAGGUAUACAAUAAAUCAUUUCGUACAACAUAUAAUAAAUAAUCUAAUGAACUAUUUCAUUUCGCGCACAACCUAAAAUAUUAUGUACUAUUAUAUUAUAAAAUAAUACAAUCGAGAUCAACAUAUGUUUCACGAAGCUCUUUUUUUUUUAACGCUGAUUUAUUAUGGCAUUACAAUUAUGAGAAAGAUUACAUAGACGAAUUGACAACCGACAAUACUACAUGUCUUAUGAGGAUCUACGCCUAACUGCAUCACUUGAGCCGUCUUAUGAAGAUCCACGCCUGACUGAAUUUACUUUCACGAAGCUCAUUAUGUAAGAAAACAUUGCAAAGAGAUAUAUACUUGAUGACAUCAAAUAUUAGUUGAAUUGUGGUGUUUUCAUAUUAAAAAAGAACAAAAUCGUAACAAUUUACAAUUGUAUAUGUAACGUAUAUUUAUUAAACAUACAAUAUAAAGUUUCAAAUAUGCACCUCACUCUGCGCACGGACGCGGAUAUCACCUAGUAAAUGUAUUAUAUUGGUAACUUUCUGAAUGGUUCAGGCUUUUCAUCGACACGUACCUAUCUUGAUACGAGAAUUAGGUUCAUCUUAUAAGGAACUGCUCCAUAUAAUAUCUGACCCUCCUAAGGGAAGUGAAAAUUUAUUGACAUUGGUGUUGCAAAUAUUGACACAAGAAGUGGCACCUUCGUCGGAUUUGAUUGCUACCGUAAAGCAUCUAUAUGAAACUAAGCUAAAGGAUGUUUCAAUUCUUAUUCCGUUGCUUUCUUCACUCACUAAAGACGAGGUAAUUUUCUACAUUCUUUCCAUGGAUUCUGCUCUUUUUAUUUUCCACUACUUUUUCAAUGAAGAAGAUGAAGGCUUGCAGUUUUUCUUUUUCUUUUACACCCUGUUAAUAUAACUAUUCGAAAAUGUGGAAAUAAAUAAGAACUAGUAACCAUGGAAGAAUUCUGAAAAAUUUCUGGUCCUAUAAAUUGCUCAUCAGUGGUAGCAAUUCAUGAUGUAACAGGUUCUGCCUAUCUUUCCCCUGCUUCUUAAUCUUCCACCUGAGAAGUUCCAACUUGUACUAGCUCAUAUAUUACAGGUAUCUGCAUAUUCUCGUGGUUCAUCCUCUAAUUAUAUAUGUCGGAACAUUGUUGCAUAUAAUUCGUUCCAUUGGUUUUAGUUUCCUAUUUGACAUUCAUACGGUGAUCUUUUUUGUCUGAGAAGUGUUUCUCUCUCUGUCGGAUUAUAUACUUUCUUCCGCUGUAACAACUUGGCAAAUCGUUUUUGUUAUAUCUGUGAUAGGGUUCUGCUCGUACCGGCCUUGCCCUCACACCUGCCGAGGUACUGAUUGCUAUCCACGAUGUUGUUCCUGAGAAGAAUGGGCCACCACUGAAAAAGAUAACAGAUGCAUGUUCAGCUUGCUUUGAACAACGCACUGUUUUCACGCAGCAAGUCUUAGCAAAGGCUCUCGGUCAGAUGGUUGAUCGAACACCUCUGCCUUUGCUCUUCAUGAGAACAGUAAUUCAGGCAGUCGAUGCUU
This is a long non-coding RNA of Brassica napus (rape), 2290 nucleotides long. RefSeq lists it as uncharacterized. The record is from RefSeq and is a predicted model, not a curated record. The transcript has 5 exons. NCBI's taxonomy places the organism in Eukaryota, Viridiplantae, Streptophyta, Magnoliopsida, Brassicales, Brassicaceae.